AGGGUGAACGCUGGCGGCGUGCCUAACACAUGCAAGUCGAGCGGUGCAGUUUGAAGCUUCGGUGGAAAGCUGCAUAGCGGCGGACGGGUGAGGAAAACGUAGGAACGUGCCCCUUGGAGUUGGAUAGCCACGGGAAACUGUGGGUAAACCGACAUAGACUCGAGAGAGUAAAGGCCGAAAGGUGCCAAGGGAGCGGCCUGCGGCCCAUCAGGUAGUUGGUAGUGUAAAGGACUACCAAGCCGACGACGGGUAGCCGGUCUGAGAGGAUGGCCGGCCACAAGGGCACUGAGAGACGGGCCCUACUCCUACGGGAGGCAGCAGUGGGGGAUUUUGGACAAUGGGCGAAAGCCUGAUCCAGCGACGCCGCGUGGAGGAUGACGGCCUUCGGGUUGUAAACUCCUGUCAGAAGGGACGAAAUCCCGCAAGGGACUGACGGUACCUUCAGAGGAAGCCCCGGCUAACUACGUG
This 468-nucleotide ribosomal RNA is filed under the name uncultured bacterium. RNAcentral describes it as "bacterial SSU rRNA". It matches the Rfam family "Bacterial small subunit ribosomal RNA", at positions 26 to 507 of the family's 1533-position model. The record is from RNAcentral.